RNAcentral lists this ribosomal RNA (468 nucleotides) under uncultured bacterium. Its description in RNAcentral is "partial 16S ribosomal RNA". It matches the Rfam family "Bacterial small subunit ribosomal RNA", at positions 28 to 507 of the family's 1533-position model. The record is from RNAcentral.
GACGAACGCUGGCGGCGUGCUUAACACAUGCAAGUCGAACGGAAAGGCCCUGCUUGUGUGGGGUGCUCGAGUGGCGAACGGGUGAGUAACACGGGAGUAACCUGCCCUGGACUUUGGGAUAACUUCAGGAAACUGGGGCUAAUACCGGAUAGGAGCGCCUGCUGCAUGGGGGGGGUUGGAAAGUUUCGGCGGUUGGGGCUGGACUGGGGGCUUAUCAGCUUGUGGGUGGGGUAGUUGCUUACCAAGGCAUUGACGGGUAGCCGGCCUGGGAGGGUGGACGGCCACAUGGGGCCUGCGAUACGGCCCAGACUCCUACGGGAGGCAGCAGUGGGGAAUAUUGUACAGUGGGCGGAAGCCUGAUGCAGCGACGCCGCGUGCGGGAUGCCGGCCUUCGGGUUGUAAACCGCUUUCGCCUGUGACGAAGCGUGAGUGACGGUAAUGGGUAAAGAAGCACCGGCUAACUACGUG